CAACCCAGAUAUACAACACUGGUCAAAUUUCUUUCUGCAACGGGUUAUGGAUGAUUUGGGCUCAAUUUCUCUACCCUAACCCUAGUCAUCAAGUCAUAGGAGGAGAACACACGAAGAAAUUGAUUCAAAACUCUGAAUGAUGUCUCAAUCGCUUUUGAAAUCGUUCCUCAUCAAAUUCAGGAGAAGUAGCGGUGCCACCGUUGAUGUUCUCUCCUAUGCUUCUUCGAAAUGUUAUGAUUUUGGUAUUCAUUCACGAAGCUCUCUUGUUUAUCCAAGAAGGAACCAUGGCGUAGGCAGUUCCCAAAGAAUCAAGGUGGGUUUUUCCGACAAUCCCCCCUUGUUGUACAACAACUACACUACUAUCAGUGCUACUACUAGUGGUGGUGGUGGUGGUUGUGCUUGUGAUGGUCGAGAAUUGCUGGCUAUGACGGACCAACAGCUGAUGACCCAAUGUGAUAUGGAUACUUUCAAGUCGUCUGGUCCCGGCGGUCAGCAUCGCAAUAAGCGUGAAUCGGCUGUCCGUAUCAAGCACCUCCCUACUGGCAUUGUUGCUCAGGCUGCAGAGGAUAGAUCACAGCAUAAGAAUCGUGCAGCAGCACUAGCUCGCCUACGCAAUCUAUUUGCUCUUAAAGUCAGGAAUACAGUAGAUUUGGAUGCAUAUUCACCUCCUCAAGAGCUCCUUCAAAUUCUUCCUGCGAAGUCAACCAUCAGAGGAUCAUCGUGUGGUCCGCAGAUUGGGCCAAAUAAUCCAAAAUUUGCUUUGGGAAUGCAAGCUUUGCUAGAUCUAAUUUUUGCAGUUGAGGGUUCUGUUUCUGAUGCAGCAAGGAAUUUGGGGUACGUGAUACUAAGUUCUGAAUCCUAUUUUGAGCACAGGGGCUCUGUCUCGUUUGAUACUUUCAGAUGAUUCGCUCAGAAUGGCAGUCAAUGAGCUCAGGACAUCUAAGGGCAUGAAGCCUCUGAAAUAGAAAACCUAUCGGAUGGCAGUUUUGUGUCAGAGGAUGGAUACAUGAUUACCUUCUGUUGUUACGAAGACAAGGAAUGCUAAUAGGCCUCAGUGGAUUACAUUCAAACUGGAUCACGAUUAUCCUAAACCGAUGAUGUGUUAAAAAAAAAAAAAACCCUCGAUGCAAUCUAAUUACUCUGACAGAUCAUGCUUAUUACCAUCCAAAUUCAAUUGUUUUAGUUGUUUGGUAUGGGUUUACAUAAUCCAAUUCAAUCUGACCACAGGGAAACAAAAACAUGAGAGAGCUUAAAUGUUUGCAUUGUAUGUAUGUAUAUGUAAAGGAUACACCAUUGCACAUCGCAUUAGAGGUGUACUAGUGAUAUUAAGUUACUUUCAGUCAGAUUGAAUAUCAUACCUAAUCUGUAAUGGAUUUGGUUUGUUUGUUAGUAUUUUCAUUUUUUUUGUACUAUUUUGUUUCUGGAAAUGCAUUUUUCCA
Molecule: non-coding RNA, 1439 nt
Organism: Camellia sinensis
Lineage: Eukaryota; Viridiplantae; Streptophyta; Magnoliopsida; Ericales; Theaceae
Source: RefSeq, a predicted model, not a curated record